GGGACUGAGUCUAAUCUUGCUCCUCAUCAUCAUACUGGGCCUGAUUUGCUGCUACAAGAAGAGUAAAGGUGAUUCUGCAGCUCAGCCCAGUGAUGACACUUACGCUCAGAUUGUGACUAAAAAGAACCGCAGAGGAAACAAUGAAGGAGCAACACAACCAAAUGACGUGACUUAUUCCCAGAUUCAGUUGAAAAACCUGGAACAUCAUGAAAAAGGUGCGCAAUACCACCUGCCCAUUUUUUAGAAGAACACAUCAGACUGACUGUAGUAGCACAGCGUUGGCUGUUGCUCUGCCUUGUGAC
This is a long non-coding RNA of Pygocentrus nattereri (red-bellied piranha), 302 nucleotides long. RefSeq lists it as uncharacterized. NCBI's taxonomy places the organism in Eukaryota, Metazoa, Chordata, Actinopteri, Characiformes, Serrasalmidae. The record is from RefSeq and is a predicted model, not a curated record. The transcript has 3 exons.